This 3407-nucleotide long non-coding RNA is filed under the name Sparus aurata (gilthead seabream). RNAcentral describes it as "lncRNA (ENSSAUG00010027273.1)". The record is from RNAcentral. Lineage: Eukaryota; Metazoa; Chordata; Actinopteri; Spariformes; Sparidae.
UGCCCAACAAUGAUCGUACCGUUGGCUGUGUCAUGGUUCUGAACCCCUCUGGACCAUAGUUCAGUUUAUUACUAGGCCGGACCAACUCUGCUAAUCAUCACAUUAUUAGCACUUUUAAUACUUUAAGUGGAUUUCGCUGAUGAUUCGUCCGUACAUGAGUUUACAUUUAAAACAACAACUUUCACUCCCAACAGAGUGUUUUUAGAUGACACGGCUUCUUUUACUCUCAGUGAGACUCUGACUUCUUCUCCCACAAAUUAAAAAUGUGCACAUUUAUUUAAAGAGUGGCGUGAAGGCGAGAGCUCGCACCUGACAGAUUAAAGUAUUACAGACCCGAGGCUGAAAACGUGGCCUUCGGGUCACCAGACUGUGGAUUGGGAAAAGACGUGUGCUGUGUGUCUGCCAGUCGGCAUUAAUCAAAUCCUUUCUGACUCAGUGUGAAUGCUUUCAUAACAUGGACGAGUGGUUGUGAACACAUUCCUCAACAACACUUUUCUCUCAUUUCCAACAUCAUGGCGAGCUGGUGGACGACUGAAGACAUGUUGGACAGCCUGGACCUGGAGGAAAACUCCAUCGUGUCGAGGGUUAUUCAGGCAGUCGGGCUGUUUGGAGAUAUUCUUUCGUUAGAGGACACGAUGGAGCCGAUGUUCUCUGAAGGCAAAAGAGAGGAGGAGGCUGAAAACACAGAAGGGAACAAAUCAGCCGAGGAGAGACGAGAGGCAGGCAACACAAAGGUAGAAGAAGAAACAAUGGAGGAAGACGGAAAGCAAGAGGACGAGGAGCUGCGACAAGGAGAAGACGUAGACGAAGUGCAGAAAGAAGGUACGAGUGAGGCAGAUGUUGAAGUUGAGAAAACAAGGACAAAAGAGGAAGUGGAGGAUGAAGAGGAGGAGACUGAAGGUGAGAAAGAGGAAAAGGCAGAUGUGGAGGAGGAGGACGAGCAAGGAGAGGUGAAGAUAGGAGAAGAGAAGGUGGAGGAAGAGGAGGAAGAGCAGACUCAGAGAGAGAAAGAACAAAGGGAGGAGGACAAGACUGAGGAAGAGGAGAAGGCGACUGAGAGACGGGAUGAAGAAGAGAAGGAGAAUAAAGAACAAAUGAACAAGGAGGAAGCAGAUGUGGUGGGGAAAGAAGAGAAGGAGCUUAUAACAGAUGGAAGUGAUGAUGAAGAAAAGGAGGAAGAGGACGACUCUGAGAAAGAAGCAAAGGAUGGAGAGAGAGAUGAAGAGCUGAAGACUCAAGAAGAAGAAGAAGAAGACAAGGAGGUUAUAGAGAAGAGUCAUGAGGAAGAGGAGAUGGAAGACAGGAAAGAACAAUCAGAGGUGAAGGAAGAAGAAGAAGAAAAGGAGACUGUGGGAAAGAAAAGAGAGGAUGAAAGAAAAGAGAAAGAAAAGGAGGAGGAAGAGGAAGAGGUAGAUGAAGAAUGUCAUGUUGAAAAAGAAGAAAAGGAGGCCAAUAAAGAAGAACGAGAACAAUGGAGUGGUGGAGAAGAAGAAAAGAUGGAGGCACACCAAGAAAAGAUGGAGGAAGAAAAAGAAGAGAUGGCGAACAAAGAAGAAAAGGUGGAGGAAGAUAAAGGAAAGAUAGAGGACAAAUUAGAGGAAAAAGAAAAGAUGGAGGAAAGAGAAGAAAAGGUGGAGGACAAAGAAGAAAAGAUGGAGGAAAGAGAAAAAAAGAUGGAGGACCAAUUAGAGGGAAAAGAAAAGAUGGAGGAAGAAAAAGAAAAGGUGGAGGACAAAUUAGAGGAAAAAGAAAAGAUGGAGAAGACUGAGGAAAAGAUGGAGGAAGAAAAAGAAAAGGUGGAGGACAAUUUAGAGAAAAAAGAAAAGAUGGAGGAAGAAAAAGAAGAGAUGGUGGGCAAAUUAGAGGAAAAAGAAAAGAUGGAGGAGACCGAGGAAAAGAUGGAGGAAGAAAAAGAAAAGGUGGAGGACAAUUUAGAGAAAAAAGAAAAGAUGGAAGAAGAAAAAGAAGAGAUGGUGGGCAAAGAAGAAAAGGUGGAGGAAGAUAAAGGAAAGAUGGAGGACAAAUCAGAGGAAAAAGAAAAGAUGGAGGAAAGAGAAGAAAAGGUGGAGGACAAAGAAGAAAAGAUGGAGGAAAGAGAAAAAAAGAUGGAGGACAAAUUAGAGGAAAAAGAAAAGAUGGAGAAGACUGAGGAAAAUAUAGAGGAAGAAAAGGAAAAGGUGGAGGAAGAUAAAGUAAAGAUGGAGGACAAAGAAGAAAAGAGGGAGGAAGAUAAAGGAAAGAAAGACGAAAAAGAAAAGAUGGAGGAGAUUGAAGAAAAGGAGUCAGCGACCAAAGAACAAAAGAAUGACAAUGAAGAAAAGAUGGAGGACAAAGAAGAAAAGGAGGGACAGAAAGACGAACAAAAACAGACUGACAGAGAAGAAGAAGAUGAAGAAGAAGAAGAAGAAGUGGAGGCCUCGGCAGACAGAAAAGAACAUGCAGAAGAAGAAACGUGUGGAUCGAACGAGGAGCUGAUAAAUCAUCUCAUCCAGUCAGAGUCCCAGAGAUCAGCUCCUUCAGCAGGUCUGCAGGAGUCUGAACUGUGUGAAGCACCGAGUCACAACGAGGCAGAAACAGGAAGUGAAGCGCUCCGAGUCGUCACAGAAGAAGAGAAAGACUCAGGCGCUGCCAACAAACACAACAAGGACGUUUCUCUCACAUCACCGAGCAGCGACAAAGAGCCGGAGGCAGCUUCAGCCCGGACUGCUGCUCCAACAGACACAGAGCUGCAGACUGUGGACGCUCAGCUCCUUCUGACGGAUCACACACAGGUGGAGGUUCAGAGUCUGCAGGUGGAGACCUCGCUGACAUCACUUCCUGCUCCAGAUCUACAAGCCUCAGGCUGCAGGUCGGAGGAGAAAGCGACGUUGAUGGAUGAAGCUGCUCAGUCGCCGUUAACGGCCGGACCAGAGAGCGACGAGCCGGGUCCGACCCAGAACUCAACCGGCGAAGCGAACGAGGACGAAGGAGGCAAAGAGGAGGGAGGUGAAAACUCUCACAAGAUGAACGGCAAGGCGGAGGCAGCAGACGACAAGAAGAAGGACGGCAAUCAAUCAGCCAAGUACAAAACUGUGUCCUACAGGAAGAUCCGCAGAGGAAACACCAGGCUGAGGAUUGACGAGUUUGAGUCCAUGAUGAACUCGUGAUUAAGCACAAAAUAGAAAAUGGAGUAGCUUGCAGAUCACAUUAACAUGGUAACAUAUAGAGAAACAUAGUGGAACCAGGAUAGAGCCUUGUGGGACACCAUACGUCGUGAUGAGUAUCGAUGUUUCAUGUAUCCUCUAGAAAAUAAACACAAUGAUUUUUUUUGACUGAUAUAUUUUCUAGUUAAUUUAACUUCACAGGCUGAUAAUCACCAUUAUGUAUAUUUAUUAUUGAAUUUCAUGAUAUUAAAGGAACCUCAUGCA